This 420-nucleotide ribosomal RNA is filed under the name Fusobacteriota bacterium. Its description in RNAcentral is "Fusobacteria bacterium partial 16S ribosomal RNA". It matches the Rfam family "Bacterial small subunit ribosomal RNA", at positions 355 to 776 of the family's 1533-position model. Lineage: Bacteria; Fusobacteriati; Fusobacteriota. The record is from RNAcentral.
UGGGGGAUAUUACACAAUGGGCGAAAGCCUGAUGCAGCGACGCCGCGUGGGGGAUGAAGGCCUUCGGGUUGUAAACUUCUUUUGCUCUGAACAAGGCAUGCCUUUGGGGUGUGUUGAGUGUAGGGGUUGAUUAGCGCCGGCUAACUACGUGCCAGCAGCCGCGGUAAUACGUAGGGCGCGAGCGUUGUCCGGAAUUAUUGGGCGUAAAGGGCUUGUAGGUGGCUGGUUGCGUCUGUCGUGAAAGCUCAUGGCUUAACUGUGGGUUUGCGGUGGGUACGGGCUGGCUUGAGUGCAGUAGGGGAGGCUGGAAUUCCUGGUGUAGCGGUGGAAUGCGCAGAUAUCAGGAGGAAUACCGGUGGCGAAGGCGGGUCUCUGGGCUGUUACUGACGCUGAGGAGCGAAAGCGUGGGGAGCGAACAGG